Molecule: ribosomal RNA, 253 nt
Filed under: uncultured bacterium
Lineage: Bacteria
Description: partial 16S ribosomal RNA
Rfam family: Bacterial small subunit ribosomal RNA
Source: RNAcentral
UACGAAGGGGGCUAGCGUUGCUCGGAAUCACUGGGCGUAAAGCGCACGUAGGCGGCUUCUUAAGUCAGGGGUGAAAUCCUGGAGCUCAACUCCAGAACUGCCUUUGAUACUGGCAACCUUGAGUCCGGGAGAGGUGAGUGGAACUGCGAGUGUAGAGGUGAAAUUCGUAGAUAUUCGCAAGAACACCAGUGGCGAAGGCGGCUCACUGGCCCGGUACUGACGCUGAGGUGCGAAAGCGUGGGGAGCAAACAGG